UUUUCGAAAAAAGACAAAAAUAUAAUUUUUUCAAAUUAAUUGCAUUUUUCCGAACUACGCGAACCUGAUUUUCAUCUUUCUAGGUGAGAUACGUAGGCAACCUAUUUAUAGGAAUGGUCUUCCUAGUAUUAGGUGCUUGGCUUUGUGGGGUCUUAGCCAAACCUUGCAUGUCUAGCCACUUUAGGCCACAUCGACCAUUGCUUCAAAAUGGGGUCAUUUUCGUAAAAGUGGUUCAAUUACCCAUGUACUAAGGUCCACAACUAGGUGUCAUAGUACUUUAAGGUCCUUCAUAUUUGAGUUUGUAUUUUUAGCCACAUUUGGCCAUAAAGGCCAUUUUUGCACAAUGGGCCAUUUUCGCAAAGUAAUUUUUUUUAAGGCCAUUAUUGUUGAGAUGUAAGAGUCAAUGAGUCAUGCAUGCUUUAAAUGGAUUAUUUUUCAUGCAUUAGAGGGUCAACUUUUUCAAGUUUGCACUAAUAGCCACUUUCAGUCACUUUUGGCUACGUAAGCCUUUUUGCAAAAAUAUCUUUAAUCAUGCCUUGCAUGUGUAUAAAAGAAGGUGUUGUGGUGUUACACGUGUCUUGAGUCACUACCUCUAUUUGAUCAUAUUUUUCGCAUUCAGGUAUGGAGGAAUUUGCUAGAGUCUGAGCAUGAGAACCCCAGGACCACUGCAUCUAGGAGCUGCUUAUAGAUACUUUUAUGUUUUGAGUAUGUCAUUCAUGUUGUCUUUUAAUUAUUAGUCUCGUACAAAAGUAUCGAUUCUGUCAGUCUAGGUAAGAUUUUCGAGUCUUUUGUUACAUUACUUCCCAUUUGUAUAUGACAAAUAGUCAUAAAUGAAAAAUUCAAAAAGACUUUUAUUUCUUAGUUUAUUUUGUCCAUUACGUUUUAAGAACUACGCUUGAUCUGAUUCAUGAGGGACAUGAUACAUAGGCAACCUACAUAGGGUUCGAUUGAAUCAUUUUUUAAAUUAAAAGAAAAGAAAAAAAGAAGGAAACAAAAAAUAAGAAGAUGAAAUUAUGGGAUGUGAGAAAUGAUUCAUUAUUAAAAAAAGAAAAAAAAGAAAAAAAGAGACGAAAUUGGGGGCAUGAGAAAUGUGAAAAAAGAAGAAGCGAUAAUCAGAAAAAAAGAGGGUGAUAGAAAUGACAAAUCAGUCGGUGUUUGAAAACAAGAGGAGGAAGGAAACGAGGCAAAAAGAGUGAAAUUGGGAUGAUGCCAUAUGACCUCCGCGCCCUCGAAGUUAUUCUAGAACCGUAAUUGUUGCUAGGGAAUGGCACACAUUGUUGUAUUUGUAUCUGCUAAAUGCCCUAACGCUAACGUGUUGGUUUUGUUUUGCUCCUAUUUGUUAGUUUCAUUGUUAUUGUAACAGAGGGUGGUUUAGUUUGUGGCACUUUGGUGAUUUGUCCGUACAACACAAGGUCAACAAGUAAGGAAACCAUGGCUAGCAAAAACUUGGAUAAGAGAGUUGUCGACCCCUCGAGGAAGAUUAUGGAGUCAGAAUCUUACUUGAACGAGGAGGUCCAAAGGUUGAAACAACACAUGUCUGAAAUGUGCCAAGCAUGAGCCAAUAGUCAAAGACCGCCCCUUUCUUAUGCUUUCCCAGAAUUUACACCCAUCUCUGCUACUACCACUCUGAUUUCAUUGUCCGAUCAAUCCAUCCAUCCAGGUUCAGUCCUUAUCCCAAUUGCACGACUAUAGUUUAAACUUUUGUUGUGCACUCCCAAAGUGUGCCAUUGACAACUAGUUAGACAACUACUACAGUUAUGCUUGUCUUUACCAUCCCAUAGCCGACGGUGGUGCAGAGAAAAACUCAUGAGUCACAAAUUGAUUCCCAGCAAGAAUAAUAUCACUCUCCUGAGUACCACUCUUACCUAUUUGAUCUUCCUGCAAAUAUUAAGAUGCCUGGGCCGAAGGUAGCAUCUGAAGAAAUGACCCACAGACUAAAAAUCUUAGAACAACAUUUGAUAAAUAUGCAAGGGCCGGCGGGUCAGAAGAGUAUUGCCUUCAAGGAUCUAUAUAUGUUCCCUGAUAUUUGUUUGCCACUUGGUUUCAAGACUCCCAAAUUUGAAAUGUAUGAUGGACAUGGAGAUCCUGUAGCCCAUCUGAAAAGGUAUUGCAAUAAGCUAAGAGGUGCAGGAGGAAAUGAAGAAUUGUUGAUGGCUUGUUUUGGGGAAAGCCUUACGGGUGUAGCCUCCGAAUUGUUUAUAAGUCAAGACACAUCUUUCUGGUAUGUCUGGGAUGAUAUGGCACAUGCUUUUGUCAAAGAGUUCCAAUAUAACAUCAAUAUUUCUCCAGACCGCAAUUCCCAUUCAAACCUGAAGAAGAAACUAGCUGAAAGUUUCAGGGAAUAUGCCAUUAAAUGGAGAGAACAAACAGCUAGAGUUAAGCCACCCAUGGAUGACCAAGAGCUAAUCACUGUCUUCCCUCAGGCUCAAGAGCUCAAUUACUUUCAAAUGUCUGCAGUUGGUAAAUCAUUCUCGGAAGCAGUCAAAAUGGGAGAAAUGGUAGAGAAUAGCCUCAAGACAGGCAAAAUCAUAAGUCAAUCAACUCUCAGAGCUGCUACUCAGGCUGUCCAAAUUAAAUCUGGUAAUUUUAGUGGCACGAGUGAGAAGGUUGAAGAACUCAUGAUUACAUCAAGGUCGAGAAGAGGUCUUUGAAGAACAUCUCGAAGGCAUGACCAACCUCGUUUGAUUUUUGACGAUUCCCCUAAGAACCCACAAUACUCUGUUGCUUUACCCUAGUAUGUGGUCGAGCCACCAAGACACCCCAGAAGGCUAGCACCAUCUCCGCAAAAUCUCCACCAGCCUCUGAAAAAUUUUCAGGUGCCCCAUAUCUCACAUCCAAGCCAGGGGGACAGAGGUAAAAAAAGUUGAAAGACAAUUUUACACCGAUAUGAGAGUCCUACGCAAGCUUGUUUGAGAAACUAAAGCAUUAUGACCUGAUUGCACCUAUUCCUCNNNNNNNNNNNNNNNNNNNNNNNNNNNNNNNNNNNNNNNNNNNNNNNNNAUGACAUGAUUGCACCUGUUCCUCCGAAUCAUGUGGACAAGCUUGCAAGAAGUUUUGACCCUUCUAAAAGGCUUGAAUACCAUUCCAAUGCCCAGGGGCACAAUGUCGAUAGUUGUCAGGAUUUGAAAAGAGAGAUAUAAAGAAUGAUUCAGGAAAGGAUAAUUGUGGUCCAGGAAAGUGACAACCAAAAAAUUUCACAGAAUCCUUUACCUGUACUUGAUGAUGCACACGUUGUGGGGAUGAUGCAUGGUAACAC
This 3256-nucleotide long non-coding RNA is filed under the name Nicotiana benthamiana. RNAcentral describes it as "long non-coding RNA (NBEN_LNC012034)". The record is from RNAcentral. Lineage: Eukaryota; Viridiplantae; Streptophyta; Magnoliopsida; Solanales; Solanaceae.